UCCACGCCCUAAACGAUGCUGACUAGUUGUUCGGGAUUUACAUCCUGAGUAACGUAGCUAACGCGUGAAGUCAGCCGCCUGGGGAGUACGGUCGCAAGAUUAAAACUCAAAGGAAUUGACGGGGACCCGCACAAGCGGUGGAUGAUGUGGAUUAAUUCGAUGCAACGCGAAAAACCUUACCUACCCUUGACAUGUCACUAACGAAGUAGAGAUACAUUAGGUGCCCGUAAGGGAAAGUGAACACAGGUGCUGCAUGGCUGUCGUCAGCUCGUGUCGUGAGAUGUUGGGUUAAGUCCCGCAACGAGCGCAACCCUUGUCUUUAGUUGCUACGCAAGAGCACUCUAAAGAGACUGCCGGUGACAAACCGGAGGAAGGUGGGGAUGACGUCAAGUCCUCAUGGCCCUUAUGGGUAGGGCUUCACA
RNAcentral lists this ribosomal RNA (422 nucleotides) under uncultured bacterium. RNAcentral's name for it is "bacterial SSU rRNA". It matches the Rfam family "Bacterial small subunit ribosomal RNA", at positions 794 to 1220 of the family's 1533-position model. The record is from RNAcentral.